This 475-nucleotide ribosomal RNA is filed under the name uncultured bacterium. RNAcentral's name for it is "SSU rRNA". It matches the Rfam family "Bacterial small subunit ribosomal RNA", at positions 26 to 518 of the family's 1533-position model. The record is from RNAcentral.
AGAAUCAACGCUGGCGGCGUGCCUAACACAUGCAAGUCGAACGAGAAAGUGGAGCAAUCCAUGAGUAAAGUGGCGACCGGGUGAGUAACACGUGACCAAUCUACCCUUGAGUGGGGGAUAACCUCGGGAAACCGGGGCUAAUACCGCAUAAUAUCCUUGGAACGGAAGUACUGGGGAUCAAAGGAGCAAUUCGCUUAAGGAGGAGGUCGCGGCUGAUUAGCUAGUUGGCGGGGUAAUGGCCCACCAAGGCUUAGAUCGGUAGCCGGCCUGAGAGGGCGCACGGCCACACUGGAACUGAAACACGGUCCAGACUCCUACGGGAGGCAGCAGUGGGGAAUUUUGCGCAAUGGGGGAAACCCUGACGCAGCAACGCCGCGUGGAGGAUGAAGGCCCUAGGGUUGUAAAGCUCUUUGUGCGGGAAGAUAAUGACGGUACCGCAAGAAUAAGCCCCGGCUAACUUCGUGCCAGCAGCCGC